RNAcentral lists this transfer RNA (103 nucleotides) under Colletotrichum orchidophilum. It matches the Rfam family "tRNA". Rfam says of the family: Transfer RNA (tRNA) molecules are approximately 80 nucleotides in length. Their secondary structure includes four short double-helical elements and three loops (D, anti-codon, and T loops). Further hydrogen bonds mediate the characteristic L-shaped molecular structure. tRNAs have two regions of fundamental functional importance: the anti-codon, which is responsible for specific mRNA codon recognition, and the 3' end, to which the tRNAs corresponding amino acid is attached (by aminoacyl-tRNA synthetases). tRNAs cope with the degeneracy of the genetic code in two manners: having more than one tRNA (with a specific anti-codon) for a particular amino acid; and 'wobble' base-pairing, i.e. permitting non-standard base-pairing at the 3rd anti-codon position. The record is from Rfam by way of RNAcentral. Lineage: Eukaryota; Fungi; Ascomycota; Sordariomycetes; Glomerellales; Glomerellaceae.
GGUCUGGUGGUGUAGUUGGUUAUCACGUCAGUCUAACAGAGCGAGAGUUCCAUACUCUCACCUGGCACACUGAAGGUCUCCGGUUCAAGUCCGGGCUAGAUCA